RNAcentral lists this microRNA precursor (82 nucleotides) under Capsicum annuum. Lineage: Eukaryota; Viridiplantae; Streptophyta; Magnoliopsida; Solanales; Solanaceae. RNAcentral also lists the same sequence under 1 other name. The record is from RNAcentral.
CAGUAACUCUGAUAUUGGCCUGGUUCACUCAGACACAACUAUUUUGAUUUGAUUGAGCCGUGUCAAUAUCUCAGUUCUCUUU